UUCUAAAUCGUUAAGCGAGAGUUUAAAAUGUUUUAGAGUGGGUGAAGCGAGUACACACAAGAAGAAAAGAAAUGCACCAGAUUGUAAAGGCUGGGGUGGACCUCUUUCUUAAUAUCCAGUGUCCUUUGUCUUAAGAUUUGGUGCAACAUAU
This is a small nucleolar RNA of Pteronotus mesoamericanus, 151 nucleotides long. RefSeq annotates it as small nucleolar RNA SNORA81. The record is from RefSeq and is a predicted model, not a curated record. Lineage: Eukaryota; Metazoa; Chordata; Mammalia; Chiroptera; Mormoopidae. The transcript has a single exon.